RNAcentral lists this ribosomal RNA (253 nucleotides) under uncultured bacterium. Its description in RNAcentral is "partial 16S ribosomal RNA". It matches the Rfam family "Bacterial small subunit ribosomal RNA", at positions 524 to 776 of the family's 1533-position model. The record is from RNAcentral.
UACGAAGGGGGCUAGCGUUGCUCGGAAUGACUGGGCGUAAAGGGCGCGUAGGCGGUUCAUCUAGUUAGGUGUGAAAUUCCUGGGCUCAACCUGGGGGCUGCAUCUAAUACUGGUGGACUUGAGUUCGGAAGAGGGUCGUGGAAUUCCCAGUGUAGAGGUGAAAUUCGUAGAUAUUGGGAAGAACACCGGUGGCGAAGGCGGCGACCUGGUCCGAUACUGACGCUGAGGCGCGAAAGCGUGGGGAGCAAACAGG